UCCUUAGGAAUAUGACAAAGACUAUACCAGCGAGGAAAAGGAUCACCAUUAAUGAAUUCAGGAUAGAGAACCAGUGCACACGGGCACCCUCCAUCUUCAAAUAAGCAUCCCACCUUGAUGGCCAUCUUAUAUCACUUUUCACAAACUCAACCUCAUAAGUAAAUGAUACUUUCUCUUGCUCCCUUAUUAUUUGAGACUUUUCAACCUCUGAGGGACAAUUUACAGGUUGGAUUUUUUCAUACAUGGCUUUUUUCUUCAUGGCCUCUGGGUCAUAUUUAAUGCUGCAAGGGGAAACCUCAAAGCCAACAAUCUCAAACCCAGAUGCCUUCUUCUUAUCAGCUUCUGAAAUGACACCCAUGCCUUCUUCCCCAGUCCCGAUUAUCUGAACACCACUCCCUUCAUACUCAUGAAUCAAAACAGUGAACUUGAGGUGAUUGAUGAUGUAAUCUUCUUUACCGUUGGGUGGUGUGUACCCAACAGGAAACCCAGUCCACUGAAUCUUAACCCCAUUUUGAUAAGCAUACCUCAUCGCAGGCAAAUUAUCAAGGAUCAUAUUGACCUGAUACAGAUCACGGGUCCUCUGUUUUAGCAGCUUUACGUCGUGCUCAGUCAAGGCGGGUGUGGUACACAGGUAAAGAGUCUCAUUCACAGUCAUAUUGAAGCGGUACGCAGAGGUUUCGAUCUCAUCUCCCAUAAGGAGUUCCCCGAGAUUCUCAGCGCUUUUCUUGAUACCUUCAGGGGGUUUGCAAUAAGGGAGACUGUAGUAGCUGAAGGGCAGCUCAGUCUCUAUAGAAGUCAAGGAGUUAACUUUGGUAAUGAUUUGUUGCCCUUUCGAAUAUGUAUGCAUGUAGCUUCCGGGGAGAUAAAACCCAUUACAGGUGUGCACAAAUACAAUCAAAACAAGCAGAGCCCAUUUGAUUGAGGGCAUUCCCGGAAUCGAUGUCGCCAUCGGAAUCGAAAAGAAAACAACACUCACCACAAGUUGGAGUGAGCAGUGGAUCUAAGCUAGCUCUUACAGUUGCAUCCACCAAUUAAUCUACACAAAUUUCAAACAGAAAACAUACUAAUAUUAGCCAAAAUAACACAAAGACUGAAAAUUUAACAAAAAAUACAAAAUUAGGCAUUCGGGUUAACAAAUUUGAUCAAGAACUUGUUAAUUGUUCAAUUUCUAUACUUCAACCGCAUCAGAUCCACUAAUUAACAGCGCAUAAACAUUCAAAUACUCACUCAAUCAUCCAAUUAGCAAAACGAUAACAAAAAGCAUGCCCAGAUCCAAAACUUGGAAUUACAAAGUAAAUUGAAAUCAUGCGUUUCAAAAAUACAACAGAUCCAUGAAAAUUUUGAGAAAUUGAGAACGAACCGUGACAGGUCCGGAACCGAAACGGAUGCUGAGCGGCUGUGGUGCGCAAGAGAGAAGCAGAAUUUCGGCGUCCCCUUUCGCUUAAUAUUAUGCUGCUGCCAAUAGACCGAACAGGCUCGGAGGGUUGACGGAACUAACUACUUUGCUUUCUUCGGAAUAAACGGUGGGAACGGCGAUGAGAAUUAUAUUCUCUACGCGCUAAUAUGGUGGGCCCCAGCCCACUGCGGAAGCAAAGUUAGAUUGGAUCUUGGAUGGGCGGGUUCAUUGUUUUUUCCUUCCUCCAAAUUUAUUUAUUUUAUUUUUUUUGAAAUAUGCACAAAUCAAUUUUAAUCGUUCAGGACUUGUAACUGAGCAGCGUGUUAAGGUGAUUAAUUGCGGGAUAAAUGAGAUAAGCGGAUGAGUGAUUUAUUAUCUUCACAUGCUGAUUACAAAUUAAGUACACUUUAUGCUUUCAGGUUAGUAGAACAUGUCAAACUCUCAACAGAAGGUAACUGAUCUUGUGAAAUCAUAAAUAGAUUACAAUUAAAUUUGGCAUAUCAUGUAAAGUGUAAAACUUCUCAAUAUUUUUAAUUAAAAUUAAAGGAUUUUGAUAUCUUCUUUGAAAAUGCUCAUUACUUGAUCGGAAAACUUAUAAUUAGUUAUUAACUUUUUAUCAAAAUUUUAAGCGUGACCAUAUAAGUAAUGACAUUCUAUGUUUUCAAAAAAAAAAAAGUAAUGACAUUCCCUAUUCAAGAUUAAAACCUUCUUGUGUGCAUGUGAUAAUUAUUUUUUGAACAAGCUGCAAUUACAACGACGAUCCUCUAUGUAUCUUGCUGGACAUGUAGUCGUAAUACAUGUAAUGUGAUUUAGCUACUUUCAACUCUUUAGUAUCCUGUUAACCAUCGUCAUAAUUGUAUUUGCAGCUUCUUUUCUGACUUGAGCAACUUAGCACCUAACCCUCUUUUUUUGCUCAGGAGAGGGGACAAUUGAGAACAAAGUGGCGAAUGGGUGUGUAAUGCGUGAGAAUCUGCAUAUUAUGACGUUGUGGCAAGUCAAAAUAGUGCGCCAACUCUUUGCAUCCAAAUUUGAAUUCUUAUCGCAUAAAUUAAAAUAAUUUACAAUAAAUAUCGCCUUGUCAAAAAUAAAAAUAUAAAAUGAAUGUGAUUUACGGCUUUUUUCCGUUCGAUCAUUCUUAUUCUUUAUGAAACUGCAUUGUUAUCAUCAUUAUUAUAUGCUUGUUAUAGUGGUGGUUAGCAAUUUUAGAAGUAAAACCCUCAUCAAAGUUGUGGUUGUAAAACUUUAAUCUUUAAAAAUAUCGUUUAAUCUAUACCAUUAGGGUGUGAUUAUGUAGCAAUAUUGCCAAUAACGUUGCAAUCACUGUAUUUGGUAGGAACGUAUAAACAUGGAUCUGCUUUUUCUACAUCUAAAACACCUUUGGAAGUGAAGAUUAGAAACUUAAACUUUAAGCCAAGAUGCGUUGCAUACGACCUUUAUGUCAUUUCCAAUACUAUCUUUAGCUAACUCACGAUGCCAAUUAUGUUUUUGUCUUUAUCUCGACCGGUUCAUGAGAACAUGUUCACGUGUUUAGUUCAAGAGAAUGACUUACAUAGAACGAGUUUAUCGUCGCGUGACAUUCUUUUUCAAUAAUACAAUGUCAUGUGUUAAAAAGUUACACAUAUAAUUUUUUAUUGGAACGGAACACGCUACAAUAGCGAUGGAAGCGUUCCGUUUAAGUUGUUCUCCUAGCUCAAUUACGGAGUGCAAGGCUCUUAACCUUGUAGUAGUGGUUUGUGCUAAUUAGGUAGGAGUUUUGGUUACUUUAUAAAUACGAGAUUAUGUGUUAAUAAAUUCGAACGUGAAUAAGCAACGGAAGUUUGAAUAAACGUUUUAAAUUAAACAAAGUUCUGAAACUUACAACAAAUAGAAAUCUACAAAUUACAUACAUCAAAAUCUCUUAAAUUCCCCAUUGAAUACACCCCUCUUAAGACCAUCUCCAACUCAUGAGAUAAAGCUUAAAAUAUAAGCUUUAAACCCCCCCCCCAAGCCAUCUCCAACUAUGGGCUAAAGUAAGCGUUGGGGAGAAAAUAUAUCUCUAGGCUAGAUUCCCUCAGGAUUUAAGUCUUAUUUAAAUUAUUCUGGAUCUACCAAACUAUCAUAUUUCAAACUUUUUUUUUUGUUUUUCACUUAUAAUUUAACUGCUAUGAUUAGAUGAGAUCAAAUCUAAUGGUAAAAAAAAGAUUUGACGGUCCAAAAUUAAAUCAAACGUCUAAAAUAAUUUAAGAAAUUACUUAUCAAUACUUAUAAAUACUUUAUAAAUACUUAUGUAUUUGUAUGAUUUUUAAUUACAUAUUAAUUUUUUUUUCAUAGAGUUUAUUUUUUGUUGUUAAGACUUUAUUGAAAUUACUAAAACAUCAUCAACUAACGGGUGCUAACGGAUUGACCCAAAAUGACCUAUUAUUUAACGGGUUCACCCGUUAGUGACCCGACCCGUUAAGCAUCCAUUUAAAUACUAAUAUUAACAGGUCGGGUUAGGUCGGGUUAACGGGUCGGGUCCAAAAUGCCAGAUCUAUUGAUAAGGAAGGAGGUUGGUGUUGAUGCGGAGGUGGAAAGCAUAGCGCAUGACAUUUGGGCUAUUACAUGAUGUGGGGACUGUUUCAUUCGAGUUUGUUCGUCGAGAAGGCAACCAAGCGGUACAUUCUGUUGCAGCAUUUAUUCAGAAAACUAGAGGUUCUUUUGGAUGGGAUUGUAUUGGUCUCGAGUUCCUUUUUAACAUCUUGGCUGAAGAUGUAAACAUUUCAAUUGGGAUUUAACAUAAAAUCUAUCUUUUAUGGAAAAAAAAAAGAAAAAAAAAUUCAGUAUUUUUCCAUUGUAACUUGGAAAUGUAAAAACAUCCUUGUGUUUUAUUUAUCCACAAUGACACAAAGGAGAGCUGCUUAAGACACCGCAACACCACCAACUUUCAGAUGCAACCAAGUGUAAAGACAAAAAAGACAACCUUCCUAACAUAUAGCAGACUCACAUUUCCCAGCUGCUUGAUAACAAUGUCAGCCAACACUUUUAUAGUUGAUCCUUACGGAUGAGCAGAGGUAACGAACAAAGUAGAAAGACAUGAGAAAGCCAAUGGUGCCAGUUGACAGCAUGAUUGCAGUUGCCAUGAUCAAUGAAUAACCGAGGUAAAGGAUAACCGAUGCAAGCCCACCCAAACCCUGCAGGUCAAAUACCAGGUAAUUGAUGGAGUACAGGAACACGUAAAAGGAAGCUGAACCUGAGGCAAAGAAAGCCUUCCACCACCACCUCCAAUCCCCCACACAAAGAUGCAUGUAUGUGAUAACUACUGAAACUUCAGCACAAACGAUAACCAACAACAAAAGCACUAUAAAAAGGAAACCGAAGACAUAAUAAAAUCUUCCAAGCCAGAUGCUAGAAAGGAUGAAGAAGAGUUCAAUGAAAAGGGUUCCAAACGGAAGUGUCCCAGCACCAAGAACAAGAAGCCAUGAUGGAUAUUUGCGCGCAGGAAUCUCCCUUGGAAUCUGGUUGGUUCUUACUGGAUAUGAAAUUGGCUCAGCUCGUGUGCCUAAGAAUCCCCCGAGAAGGGUGAGAGGCACGGAAAUGCAGAACCAGAGGGAGAUGAGUACAAAAUACAAAGAAAUGGGAAGAGCACCAGUACUCUUGCUGCCCCAUAGAAUGAAAUUCAGUAUUGUACGAAUAACAAUGACGAUUCCAGGAAAGAAGCACGCCACAGACCAGGAAACCGAUUUCCAUCCUUCGGAAGUUCCCUUUAUGGUUAUCCACAUACGGACAGCAACAUAACCAGCAAUAAUCCCAAGGAAAAGAUAUAGAAUGAUCAUUCCUGUCAGUAGCAUUCCUCGUGAAGCUGGUGACAUGAAACCAAAUGCUGCAAAGAUGAUUGUGACAACUGCCAUCCCUGUAAUCUGAACCCCAUCUCCAACCAUCACGCAAAGAAGCUUGGGAGAAUCUGGUUCUCUGAACACAUCUCCCACAACAAGCUUCCACCCAUAGAGCUCUUCAUUCAUCUGAGCUUGAGGUUCUUCGUCCAGUUGUUCGUAUCUUGUUAAAUCCCUCCUCGCAGUCCUUAGGAAUAUGACAAAGACUAUACCAGCGAGGAAAAGGAUCACCAUUAAUGAAUUCAGGAUAGAGAACCAGUGCACACGAGCACCCUCCAUCUUCAAAUAAGCAUCCCACCUUGAUGGCCAUCUUAUAUCGCUUUUCACAAACUCAACCUCAUAAGUGAAUGAUACUUUCUCUUGCUCCCUUAUUAUUUGAGACUUUUCGACCACCGUGGGAAAAUUGACAGGUUGGAUUUUUUCAUACAUGGCUUUUUUCUUCAUGGCCUCUGGGUCAUAUUUAAUGCUGUAAGGUUUAACCUCAAAGCCAACAAUCUCAAACCCAGAUGCCUUCUUCUUAUCAGCUUCU
This 5773-nucleotide long non-coding RNA is filed under the name Malus domestica (apple). RNAcentral's name for it is "long non-coding RNA (MDOM_LNC017325)". Lineage: Eukaryota; Viridiplantae; Streptophyta; Magnoliopsida; Rosales; Rosaceae. The record is from RNAcentral.